Molecule: ribosomal RNA, 410 nt
Filed under: uncultured bacterium
Lineage: Bacteria
Description: bacterial SSU rRNA
Rfam family: Bacterial small subunit ribosomal RNA
Source: RNAcentral
AAUGGACGAAAGUCUGACGCAGCAACGCCGCGUGGGUGAUGAAGGUCUUCGGAUUGUAAAACCCUGUCGUCAGGGACGAAGGUUGGGGCUUUAAUAGAGUUUCAACUUGACGGUACCUGGAGAGGAAGCCCCGGCUAACUCUGUGCCAGCAGCCGCGGUAAUACAGAGGGGGCAAGCGUUAUUCGGAAUUACUGGGCGUAAAGGGCGCGUAGGCGGUUCUUUAAGUCGGAUGUGCAAUCCCCGAGCUCAACUUGGGAACUGCAUCCGAAACUGGGGAGCUAGAGUGCUGGAGAGGGUGGUGGAAUUCCACGUGUAGCGGUGAAAUGCGUAGAGAUGUGGAGGAACACCAGUGGCGAAGGCGGCCACCUGGACAGUAACUGACGCUGAGGCGCGAAAGUGUGGGUAGCAAA